AAAUGAUCCAAAUGAUCAGGACUUGGAAGAUGUAAUAGGUGCGACUGGUACCACUAUCUAUGGUUCUGUAUCAACACCCACGACACCCAUAACUGUGAAAUCCGAAGCGCAAGAGAUGGGAUUUUUGCCAGAAGAUAUCGAUAAAGCAUUUAGUUAUCUAUGUCGAAAAAAGAAUGGUGAGAAUAUUACCUCCCAGGAGCUUGUAAACGAGAUUCUGAGAUCUCAAGGUGGUAGAAAGUAAUGAUCAAAUAAGCGUACCGUUGAAAUAUUUUAUGACUCCAAGUCAAAUGCAGAAUU
This is a long non-coding RNA of Saccostrea cuccullata (small rock oyster), 297 nucleotides long. RefSeq lists it as uncharacterized. The transcript is spliced from 3 exons. NCBI's taxonomy places the organism in Eukaryota, Metazoa, Mollusca, Bivalvia, Ostreida, Ostreidae. The record is from RefSeq and is a predicted model, not a curated record.